AAUUUCCUGGGGUGUACGUCAGCGGAUUAAGUCCCUGAGCCGAUACUUAAAUUUUAUUGAGUCGGUCCCCCACUGUCGGUGUGCAAGCUCAGCUCGACUGAGAAGCCUUAAGGCGGUAUGACUGGCUCCCUUGAACCGUAGGGUUCAAGGACCGAUUAUUCGCAACGGCACUCCGGGUUCCUU
Non-coding RNA from Chelonobacter oris, 183 nucleotides. Lineage: Bacteria; Pseudomonadati; Pseudomonadota; Gammaproteobacteria; Pasteurellales; Pasteurellaceae. The record is from Rfam.